Molecule: non-coding RNA, 391 nt
Organism: Megalopta genalis
Lineage: Eukaryota; Metazoa; Arthropoda; Insecta; Hymenoptera; Halictidae
Source: RefSeq, a predicted model, not a curated record
UUCUCCAGUUCGAAGAUGUCGCUUCGGACAGCGUCCAACAGUGUCGGUGUUUCCAGUCGAUGGCCGCCUCGUUUCGAGCGAGGCGAGGCGAUCGGUAGAAACUAGAAACCAUUUCAGCGUCGAAACAGAUUAAAUAUUCGCAUUGACGACACGGAAUCGGAUGUACUAUGUCGAAUAGUAUAGGAUUAUCAUACAAUUGCUUAUGCAACGACGCGAAUCUUCGUCGAGGGCAUCGACCCAACACAUGCACCGACGUCGUCGUACCAUGAGAAAAUCAGUAUCGCGGCAUAUCAACACAACUGGUCAAUGUCAGCCUGACUGAUAUAUAGCGCAUGGAGACGGCGACUCGCAAAUGAGCAACUGACAGGUAAGUAAAGAUGUUUCAACAUGC